CAACGGUGAAAAUAUGCGAUUCUGACUAACAUUUUUUAUCGGAUUCGUAUUUGCUCAUUUUUUAUCCAUUUGGCAUGAAGAAGAUAUCAUUCAACAGCUAAAAAAAGAUCUUUCCGAAUGUGAAAAAAUCUCGUUCAUACGCAGAGUAAUUCAGAUACAAUAGCGCGCUGAAGUUCGAUUACCUUUUUUUUAUACACCCUGUA
Paramuricea clavata is the source of this 203-nucleotide non-coding RNA. The record is from the annotation of a GenBank genome assembly. NCBI's taxonomy places the organism in Eukaryota, Metazoa, Cnidaria, Anthozoa, Malacalcyonacea, Plexauridae.